RNAcentral lists this ribosomal RNA (247 nucleotides) under uncultured bacterium. Its description in RNAcentral is "partial 16S ribosomal RNA". It matches the Rfam family "Bacterial small subunit ribosomal RNA", at positions 523 to 769 of the family's 1533-position model. The record is from RNAcentral.
AUACGUAGGGGGCGAGCGUUGUCCGGAAUUAUUGGGCGUAAAGGGUUCGCUAGGCGGAAAUAUAUGUCAGGUGUAAAAGGCGGAGGCUCAACCUCCGUAAGCAUUUGAAACUAUAUUUCUUGAGAUAUGGAGAGGUAAGUGGAAUUCCUAGUGUAGCGGUGAAAUGCGUAGAUAUUAGGAGGAACACCAGUGGCGAAGGCGACUUACUGGACGAUAACUGACGCUGAGGCUCGAAAGCGUGGGGAGC